AUUGAACGCUGGCGGCAGGCCUAACACAUGCAAGUCGAACGAGUGGCGGCCGGGUGAGUAAUGUCUGGGAAACUGCCCGAUGGAGGGGGAUAACUAAUGGAAACGGUAGAUAAUACCGCAUACCAUCGGAUGUGCCCAGAUGGGAUUAGCUUGUAGGUGAGGUAACGGCUCACCUAGGCGACGAUCCCUAGCUGGUCUGAGAGGAUGACCCGCAACAAUGGAACUGUGACACGGUCCAGACUCCUACGGGAGGCAGAAGUGGGGAAGAUUGGACAAUGGGCGAAAUCCUGAUUCAGCCAUGCCGCGUGUAUGAUGAAGGCCUUCGGGUUGUAAAGGACUUUCAGCGGGGAGGCGUUACCCGCAGCAGAAGCACCGGCUAACUCCGUGCCAGCAGCCGCGGUAAUUC
RNAcentral lists this ribosomal RNA (406 nucleotides) under uncultured bacterium. RNAcentral describes it as "partial 16S ribosomal RNA". It matches the Rfam family "Bacterial small subunit ribosomal RNA", at positions 30 to 526 of the family's 1533-position model. The record is from RNAcentral.